Molecule: long non-coding RNA, 276 nt
Filed under: Pongo abelii (Sumatran orangutan)
Lineage: Eukaryota; Metazoa; Chordata; Mammalia; Primates; Hominidae
Description: lincRNA
Source: RNAcentral
ACUGCUAGCAAAUAGGACAGAAGCCAAGGAAGCUGAACAUUUGAGAUACAUGAAAUUCCGAUAAUAAGGGACAAAAUGGUUAAGCUCUUGAUUUGAGACUAAGGAUGGAGAUGGGGCCAUUUAAAAUGCCCAGAUUCAAGAGGCAAGCAGAAAGGAGAGUUGAGGAAGGGUCUUGAGCAGGGACUGCUGGAAAAGCAGCUGGUGGAACUUGGAGAGCUGUGGCUUCCUGUGGUUGUUGAAGGUGACGGUCACCUUAAUCCUGGCUGGGCAGUGCUG